Molecule: ribosomal RNA, 492 nt
Filed under: uncultured bacterium
Lineage: Bacteria
Description: partial 16S ribosomal RNA
Rfam family: Bacterial small subunit ribosomal RNA
Source: RNAcentral
AGUGAACGCUGGCGGUAGGCCUAACACAUGCAAGUCGAACGGCAGCACAGUAAGAGCUUGCUCUUACGGGUGGCGAGUGGCGGACGGGUGAGGAAUACAUCGGAAUCUACUUUUUCGUGGGGGAUAACGUAGGGAAACUUACGCUAAUACCGCAUACGACCUACGGGUGAAAGCAGGGGAUCUUCGGACCUUGCGCGAUUGAAUGAGCCGAUGUCGGAUUAGCUAGUUGGCGGGGUAAAGGCCUACCAAGGCGACGAUCCGUAGCUGGUCUGAGAGGAUGGUUCCAUACAUGGGCUGUGAGGCACAUCCGCCACACUGGGACUGAGCCACGGCGCAGACUCUUACGGGAGGCGGCAGUGGGGAAUACUGGAAAAUCGCCGAAAGCCUGAUCGAGCACUGCUGGGUGAGUGCUGAAGUCGGUAGGGUUGUAAAGCUCUUUUACCCGGGAUGAUAAUGACAGUACCGGGAGAAUAAGCACCGGCUAACUCCGUG